UACAGAGGGGGCCAGCGUUAUUCGGAAUUACUGGGCGUAAAGGGCGCGUAGGCGGUUCGAUAAGUCCCGUGUGAAAUCCCUCGGCUCAACUGAGGAAUGGCACGGGAAACUGACGGGCUUGAGUUCGGGAGAGGGAAGCGGAAUUCCGGGUGUAGCGGUGAAAUGCGUAGAUAUCCGGAGGAACACCGGUGGCGAAGGCGGCUUCCUGGACCGACACUGACGCUGAGACGCGAAAGCGUGGGGAGCAAACAGG
Molecule: ribosomal RNA, 253 nt
Filed under: uncultured bacterium
Lineage: Bacteria
Description: partial 16S ribosomal RNA
Rfam family: Bacterial small subunit ribosomal RNA
Source: RNAcentral